This 253-nucleotide ribosomal RNA is filed under the name uncultured bacterium. RNAcentral's name for it is "partial 16S ribosomal RNA". It matches the Rfam family "Bacterial small subunit ribosomal RNA", at positions 524 to 776 of the family's 1533-position model. The record is from RNAcentral.
UACGGGGGGGGCAAGCGUUGUUCGGAAUUAUUGGGCGUAAAGGGCUCGUAGGUGGCCAACUAAGUCAGACGUGAAAUCCCUCGGCUUAACCGGGGGACUGCGUCUGAUACUGGAUGGCUUGAGUUUGGGAGAGGGAUGCGGAAUUCCAGGUGUAGCGGUGAAAUGCGUAGAUAUCUGGAGGAACACCGGUGGCGAAGGCGGCAUCCUGGACCAACACUGACACUGAGGAGCGAAAGCCAGGGGAGCAAACAGG